UUUAUGCCGUAUGGCAUAAGAGUGAAAGGCGCUUUCGGGUGUCGCUGAUGGAUGGACCCGCGGUGCAUUAGCUAGUUGGUGAGGUAACGGCUCACCAAGGCCACGAUGCAUAGCCGACCUGAGAGGGUGAUCGGCCACACUGGGACUGAGACACGGCCCAGACUCCUACGGGAGGCAGCAGUAGGGAAUCUUCGGCAAUGGACGAAAGUCUGACCGAGCAACGCCGCGUGAGUGAAGAAGGUUUUCGGAUCGUAAAACUCUGUUGUUAGAGAAGAACAAGGACGUUAGUAACUGAACGUCCCCUGACGGUAUCUAACCAGAAAGCCACGGCUAACUACGUGCCAGCAGCCGCGGUAAUACGUAGGUGGCAAGCGUUGUCCGGAUUUAUUGGGCGUAAAGCGAGCGCAGGCGGUUUCUUAAGUCUGAUGUGAAAGCCCCCGGCUCAACCGGGGAGGGUCAUUGGAAACUGGGAGACUUGAGUGCAGAAGAGGAGAGUGGAAUUCCAUGUGUAGCGGUGAAAUGCGUAGAUAUAUGGAGGAGCACCAUUGGCGAACGCGGCUCUCUGGUCUGUAACUGACGCUGAGGCUCGAAAACGUGGGGAGCAAACAUUAUUAGAUACCCUGGUAGUCCACGCCGUAAACGAUGAGUGCUAAGUGUUGGAGGGUUUCCGCCCUUCAGUGCUGCAGCAAACGCAUUAAGCACUCCGCCUGGGGAGUACGACCGCAAGGUUGAAACUCAAAGGAAUUGACGGGGGCCCGCACAAGCGGUGGAGCAUGUGGUUUAAUUCGAAGCAACGCGAAGAACCUUACCAGGUCUUGACAUCCUUUGACCACUCUAGAGAUAGAGCUUUCCCUUCGGGGACAAAGUGACAGGUGGUGCAUGGUUGUCGUCAGCUCGUGUCGUGAGAUGUUGGGUUAAGUCCCGCAACGAGCGCAACCCUUAUUGUUAGUUGCCAUCAUUUAGUUGGGCACUCUAGCGAGACUGCCGGUGACAAACCGGAGGAAGGUGGGGAUGACGUCAAAUCAUCAUGCCCCUUAUGACCUGGGCUACACACGUGCUACAAUGGGAAGUACAACGAGUCGAUAGACCGCGAGGUCAAGCAAAUAUCUUAAAGCUUUACUCAGUUCGGAU
RNAcentral lists this ribosomal RNA (1131 nucleotides) under Enterococcus faecalis. RNAcentral's name for it is "bacterial SSU rRNA". It matches the Rfam family "Bacterial small subunit ribosomal RNA", at positions 180 to 1298 of the family's 1533-position model. The record is from RNAcentral. Lineage: Bacteria; Bacillati; Bacillota; Bacilli; Lactobacillales; Enterococcaceae.